Molecule: ribosomal RNA, 776 nt
Filed under: Plasmodium brasilianum
Lineage: Eukaryota; Apicomplexa; Aconoidasida; Haemosporida; Plasmodiidae
Description: SSU rRNA
Rfam family: Eukaryotic small subunit ribosomal RNA
Source: RNAcentral
UAUUAAAAUUGUUGCAGUUAAAGCGCUCGUAGUUGAAUUUCAAGGAAUCAAUAUUUUAAGUAAUGCUUUGUAUAUUUAUAACAAAGUUGUACGUUAAGAAUAAACGCCAAGCGUUAUAUUUUUUCUGUUACAUUUUGUUUUAUUAAUAUAUAUAUGCGUUCUUAUUAUAAAAAUGAUUCUUGUUAAAAUUCUUUUGUAUAAUUUUUUAUGCAUGGGAAUUUUGUUACUUUGAGUAAAUUAGAGUGUUCAAAGCAAACAGUUAAAACAGUUUCUGUGUUUGAAUACUACAGCAUGGAAUAACAAAAUUGAACAAGUCAGAAUUUUGUUCUUUUUUCUUAUUUUGGCUUAGUUACGAUUAAUAGGAGUAGCUUGGGGGCAUUUGUAUUCAGAUGUCAGAGGUGAAAUUCUUAGAUUUUCUGGAGACAAGCAACUGCGAAAGCAUUUGUCUAAAAUACUUCCAUUAAUCAAGAACGAAAGUUAAGGGAGUGAAGACGAUCAGAUACCGUCGUAAUCUUAACCAUAAACUAUGCCGACUAGGUGUUGGAUGAUAGAGUAAAAAAUAAAAGGGACAUUCAUAUAUAUGAGUGUUUCUUUUAGAUAGCUUCCUUCAGUACCUUAUGAGAAAUCAAAGUCUUUGGGUUCUGGGGCGAGUAUUCGCGCAAGCGAGAAAGUUAAAAGAAUUGACGGAAGGGCACCACCAGGCGUGGAGCUUGCGGCUUAAUUUGACUCAACACGGGGAAACUCACUAGUUUAAGACAAGAGUAGGAUUGACAGAU